CAAGAUUUUCUUCUCCAGUGGGGACAGCUGACCUGUAGCAAUCCUGGGGUCUGUAGACAUUUUAGCCCAGGACAAU
Molecule: unclassified non-coding RNA, 76 nt
Organism: Panthera pardus (leopard)
Lineage: Eukaryota; Metazoa; Chordata; Mammalia; Carnivora; Felidae
Source: Ensembl